Long non-coding RNA from Musa acuminata AAA Group (dessert banana), 1693 nucleotides. RefSeq lists it as uncharacterized. The transcript is spliced from 5 exons. The record is from RefSeq and is a predicted model, not a curated record. Lineage: Eukaryota; Viridiplantae; Streptophyta; Magnoliopsida; Zingiberales; Musaceae.
CCAUGUCUUCGAUCACCCACAGUCCUACAGGUCACGGUGACGCCGCCGCGCCGUACAGGACCGGACCGACCUCGCGACCCUCUUCGGCUGGCCGCGGGGGUCUCUUCCGGAUGCUCAUCCAAAAUCCGGCGACCUGCAGUGAUCUACAACAGUACCCAAAAACAUUUUUCCCUGUUUGACAGUGGGAAGGAAAGGAAACAAGAAUGUCCCCCUAAAUUGGUAGAGACACUCGAGGAUGGGAGGAAAAUUGCCUUUUGGAUUCCUUGAUUUUCCAACACAAGGAUCUGGUGCAACAGUCCAGAUUUUCCAACACAACAUCGGGAGAGGCGAAGGAAAUUGCUGAGGGAGAGCCUCCGCCGGGAAAGGAUACUUGUUAUUUGUCGAGCAGAUGUAUUGCACGGAGGGGAAGCUUUUGCAAACUUCCGGGAACAUGCGUAUCUGCAAGAAAUACAAGGUUGGAGACAUUAUAACAGUGGAGUAAUCCUCUUCAGAUAUUGAAUUAGACAAGGGAGCUACAUUUCUCAAACUGGCAGAUGUAAACCUUAUGCUGGUGAAACAAGAUUGCAAUCUGUAGGAGCUGCAAGUAGAUGCUCUCACUUUUGGCUUGAUAGGUGAGGGGGAAUGAAUAGCUUUUCUGUAAUGAAUAGUGUUAGAAUCUCAUAGAUAUGAGUCUUGAAAGCUUCCUAGUCCUUGGUACUAUCAAGUUAAGUGAUGUAUCACUUUCAUCUCACAACUUGUCCAUCAAACCAGCAUUGAUAAACAAGGACAAUAAUAAUACGUUUUUUUCUUCUUAAAAGGAGAACAAGGAGAAUCAGUAUUAAGUGAAAUCUGGUCUAACUUGAGAAGGUGGAUUGAUUGUGACCUCUUAUUGAGUCCAAGAACAGUAAUUUUUAAGGUAAAUAAAUUUAAGAUUUUUUUUCAGAAAAAAAGUAUAUAAGAUUUCUUAACUUGGAUUUCCUCAAUGGUUUAUCUGUGAUAAGAUAUGAGAAAAGUGACUAGUGACAAGGGUAUCUCUCUGCAAUAAGGCUUUCCUGGAUGACAUUGCCAAGCUAUGAGAGCUUCUGAGGAUAGGUCAGAUGCACAAGCCUGCUUGCCCAAAAACACUUGCAUAUAACAUGAGACUGCAACAGAGAGAAAAAAAAUAGAGAAGGAAAGAAGAAUAAAAACAAUAAGAGAGAGAGAGAGAGAGAGAGAGAGAGAGAGAGAGCACUCAGAAGAGGCAUGCAUGUACUCUUUUGCUGGUUUGGCAUCUCCAACUUAUCACCAACUUGUCAGAAUGCCAGGUGGACAGGGUGGUCAGGCAGAAACAACAAGGUGGGGGGGGGGGAGGGGAAGGAAGAAAACAACAAGCACUUCAGAGAAUAUAUGGAGAAGCAGAGGAAGGCCACUAAAAUAGUCAGUGGUUGGAGGUGCGUGAGAUGCAUCAGAAGGAGGAAGAUGGCAUGGCUGUUGCCUGUGGCCCACAGUAUCAGCUCUGUGACCUCAAACAUCUUAUCAUGUCAUUCUUUUUUGUUCCUUCUUGAUAGGAUGGAUCAGUGUGGGCUAUCAUGUGGGAUGCCACAUGCAAACUACUGACACCCAAAAGCAUCGAGAGGGGGGAAAAGAGGACGUGAAUCUUUUCUUCUUGUUGGCAUGCACUGCAUGUGUACAUUCCAACGUUGUUAUAAAUAAUGUUAAAGAAUAUGCAUGAUCA